AGCAACCAAUCAUAGUCCUCGCCGGGCCGCAGGCCACCGCCGGCUCCACCUCAGCUGCAGGUUUGGGCUCCCGACCAAGUUUUCCUGCAAAGUUGGGUAGCGCCAAGGCCGCUGCGGAAUUAUCAUCUUUUUCUAUGGAGAAGUUUGUUUUAACCACUUAAUGGUGUUAAUUUAGUUUGACACCAGAUUUCUAAAAGGAAGAGUUUGCUUUCAUUUUGAUCUUAGAGAGGAAAUGAUUACUGAUGCACUGUUGGUUUUGUUUCUUUUUUUAGAUUGCUUUACCAAAACCGGAGAGAUUUGAAUUAUGGGUGGGGCAUGGCCCGGGUGCAGCAGUACUCUCCCAUUCCCGUCCCACGCGCGCGCCUUUCAGUAUUUUGGAAGCUCAGACCUCAUAAAAACAAAAGCCAUAAAGGGAAGUGUCCUGCAAGAGCCUUCAGCUUUCAGACCUAUGAUACACACUCGGAUAUGGAAGCACUCACCUCCAAACUGUCAUCACAGAACCAAAGAGAAAAAUACUUUGUAAAAAGCAGGAUCUUUCUCCACUAUUUGUGAUAAUAAACAAUUAUGUUAAUAAAAGCAUAUGGAAUACUUUAA
Non-coding RNA from Cricetulus griseus (Chinese hamster), 594 nucleotides. NCBI's taxonomy places the organism in Eukaryota, Metazoa, Chordata, Mammalia, Rodentia, Cricetidae. The record is from RefSeq and is a predicted model, not a curated record.